Molecule: long non-coding RNA, 600 nt
Organism: Eutrema salsugineum
Lineage: Eukaryota; Viridiplantae; Streptophyta; Magnoliopsida; Brassicales; Brassicaceae
Exons: 2
Source: RefSeq, a predicted model, not a curated record
AUCAAACGUUUCUUACACCUGAUUUUUAACAUUAUCCCCGUUUUUACUCUUUCAAAACAGAUACUUCCUUACACUGAGUUUUACCAUUCAGAUGUUCAUUUCAUUACUCUGUUUUUAUUUAGUUGAUCUGUUCUAUUCGAGUACUCAAACUUAUCUAGUUUAACUCCUAAAGAAGCACUUCAUGAAACCUCUCUCUGAUUUUCUCAUUCUCCUCUGAGCAACAUGCAUAGAGACAUCACAUCACCCUACAAGGUGGCAGUAAGUAAAGUACACAGACUCAAUUGGAGUGAAAAGAAGAUGAAUGAAUGUGAAGAUAGAGUAAUGACUAGGAAGAAUGUUAGGCAACGGACAAAUGUAGAUGCAGCCUUUGAACGUGCCAUACUUUAUUUAUUGUGGUCAGUUUAAGUGAUGGUAUAAUUAUGUAUAAAAUAAUUCAGUGAUAGUAUAGUUAUGUAUUAAUGUUUGUCAUGUAUAGAUGUGUAGAAGAUGGUAUAGGUAUGUAUAAAUGAUAUAUAUAAUUAUAGAAUAGGGUGUAUAUGCGUAUAGACAAUAGGAUGGUAGGAUGUACGUCAUGGUAAAUAAGUACAUGUGUUAGACAUA